RNAcentral lists this ribosomal RNA (599 nucleotides) under Alternaria infectoria. RNAcentral describes it as "eukaryotic LSU rRNA". The stretch from base 225 to 378 matches the Rfam family "5.8S ribosomal RNA". The record is from RNAcentral. Lineage: Eukaryota; Fungi; Ascomycota; Dothideomycetes; Pleosporales; Pleosporaceae.
UCCGUAGGUGAACCUGCGGAGGGAUCAUUACACAAUAACAAGGCGGGCUGGACACCCCCCGCUGGGCACUGCUUCACGGCGUGCGCGGCGGGGCCGGCCCUGCUGAAUUAUUCACCCGUGUCUUUUGCGUACUUCUUGUUUCCUGGGUGGGCUCGCCCGCCCUCAGGACCAACCACAAACCUUUUGCAAUAGCAAUCAGCGUCAGUAACAACGUAAUUAAUUACAACUUUCAACAACGGAUCUCUUGGUUCUGGCAUCGAUGAAGAACGCAGCGAAAUGCGAUACGUAGUGUGAAUUGCAGAAUUCAGUGAAUCAUCGAAUCUUUGAACGCACAUUGCGCCCUUUGGUAUUCCAAAGGGCAUGCCUGUUCGAGCGUCAUUUGUACCCUCAAGCUUUGCUUGGUGUUGGGCGUCUUUUGUCUCCAGUUCGCUGGAGACUCGCCUUAAAGUCAUUGGCAGCCGGCCUACUGGUUUCGGAGCGCAGCACAAGUCGCGCUCUUUGCCAGCCAAGGUCAGCGUCCAGCAAGCCUUUUUUUCAACCUUUGACCUCGGAUCAGGUAGGGAUACCCGCUGAACUUAAGCAUAUCAAUAAGCGGAGGA